Molecule: ribosomal RNA, 497 nt
Filed under: uncultured bacterium
Lineage: Bacteria
Description: partial 16S ribosomal RNA
Rfam family: Bacterial small subunit ribosomal RNA
Source: RNAcentral
GACGAACGCUGGCGGCGUGCCUAAUACAUGCAAGUUGAGCGAUGAAGAUUGGUGCUUGCACCAAUUUGAAGAGCAGCGAACGGGUGAGUAACGCGUGGGGAAUCCGCCUUUGAGCGGGGGACAACAUUUGGAAACGAAUGCUAAUACCGCAUAACAACUUUAAACAUAAGUUUUAAGUUUGAAAGAUGCAAUUGCAUCACUCAAAGAUGAUCCCGCGUUGUAUUAGCUAGUUGGUGAGGUAAAGGCUCACCAAGGCGAUGAUACAUAGCCGACCUGAGAGGGUGAUCGGCCACAUUGGGACUGAGACACGGCCCAAACUCCUACGGGAGGCAGCAGUAGGGAAUCUUCGGCAAUGGACGAAAGUCUGACCGAGCAACGCCGCGUGAGUGAAGAAGGUUUUCGGAUCGUAAAACUCUGUUGGUAGAGAAGAACGUUGGUGAGAGUGGAAAGCUCAUCAAGUGACGGUAACUACCCAGAGAGGGACGGCUAACUACGUG